Molecule: transfer RNA, 70 nt
Filed under: Megalamphodus megalopterus (black phantom tetra)
Lineage: Eukaryota; Metazoa; Chordata; Actinopteri; Characiformes; Acestrorhamphidae
Description: Hyphessobrycon megalopterus (black phantom tetra) tRNA-Trp
Rfam family: tRNA
About the family: Transfer RNA (tRNA) molecules are approximately 80 nucleotides in length. Their secondary structure includes four short double-helical elements and three loops (D, anti-codon, and T loops).
Source: RNAcentral
AGAAACUUAGGUUAACUGAAACCAAGAGCCUUCAAAGCUCAAAAUGGGAGUUAAAAUCUUCCAGCUUCUG